RNAcentral lists this long non-coding RNA (782 nucleotides) under Homo sapiens (human). RNAcentral's name for it is "long non-coding RNA NONHSAT160708.1". The record is from RNAcentral. Lineage: Eukaryota; Metazoa; Chordata; Mammalia; Primates; Hominidae.
CUCGGUUGGACAGGUUGAGAGAAACAUGUCAUUAAGUUUCUUAAAUGACGAAGAGGCCAGGAAGAUCCUUCAGGUGCUGGAAAGGAAUGAGGAGUUACAGAGGGCCGAGAAGGACAGGAUCAGCAAACUUCAGAAGACAAAGAGGGAUAUCAGAUGGCUUCAGGGAGUGACUGGUGAAUGGUUUGAAGAAAUUCAAAGAAAAAAGUUUUGCAAUGAAACAGAUGUUAGCCAAAUGUUAAAACAACCACUUACAUACAGGCUAAGUAAGGAGAUGGCAAAAAAUGAUCCGAUAGAAUUACCUACAUCAAGAUCUAAAAAUGUAACUAAUCAAAAAAAGCCGACACCUUUUUCUUCCCGGAUGAGCUUCAGAUCGUCAUUUGCUUCCCUGUUCUCAUUCAGGAAAUCUGGAAAGGAGACUUCAAAGCUUCCAUCACUGGGACAGAAAGGAUGUGAUGGCCAUGCAGGACCUCCUAUGCCUGUGAGGGGAGCUGCUGUGGUAAGCAAAAAUAUACAAUUCACCUCUGGAAAAUCAUCUAGUUGACAGUACAUUUGUCCCAAAGCCAGCAGUCAUGAGGGAGGAGAGUGGCAUGCCUCCACCGUGGGAUGCUUCACUGCUGGAGAAUGAGUUUUUCCAAGUUUUAGAUGACUUGGAUAGCAAAUUGGCUCAGGAACAGUCUGCAAGCUCAGUGAAUACCAGAACACCCCUCAACUAUGGAUCAAGAACACAGUUCGGUCACUUUUAUUCCAGUGGUAACAGACAUGGUAAUAUCACAGAAAGGCAC